GGACGAACGCUGGCGGCGUGCUUCAUACAUGCAAGUCGAACGAGAAAUUACCUUCGGGUAAUGGAAAGUGGCGGACGGGUGAGUAAUAUGUAGGAAAUCUGCCCUUAAGAGGGGGACAACAGAGGGAAACUUCUGCUAAUACCCCAUAUGAGCGUAGCUGAAAUGCUAUUCUUGAAAACUCCGGUGCUUAAGGAUGAGCCUGCAUCUGAUUAGCUAGUUGGGGGUGUAAUGGACCACCAAGGCGACGAUCAGUAGCUGGUUUGAGAGGAUGAUCAGCCACAAUGGGACUGAGACACGGCCCAUACUCCUACGGGAGGCAGCAGUAGGGAAUUUUGCGCAAUGGGCGAAAGCCUGACGCAGCAACGCCGCGUGAUUGAUGAAGCCCUUCGGGGUGUAAAGAUCUGUCAGUGGGGACGAAACUUGACGGUACCCACAGAGGAAGCAUCGGCUAACUCCGUG
Molecule: ribosomal RNA, 459 nt
Filed under: uncultured bacterium
Lineage: Bacteria
Description: bacterial SSU rRNA
Rfam family: Bacterial small subunit ribosomal RNA
Source: RNAcentral